AUACGUAGGGGGCAAGCGUUAUCCGGAAUCACUGGGUGUAAAGGGUGCGUAGGCGGCUUGGCAAGUCAGAUGUGAAAGCCCGGAGCUCAACUCCGGGACUGCAUUUGAAACUGCUAAGCUAGAGUACAGGAGAGGAAAGUGGAAUUCCUAGUGUAGCGGUGGAAUGCGUAGAUAUUAGGAGGAACACCAGUGGCGAAGGCGACUUUCUGGACUGUAACUGACGCUGAGGCACGAAAGCGUGGGUAGCGAACAGGAUUAGAUACCCUGGUAGUCCACGCCGUAAACGAUGAGUGCUAGGUGUUGGGGCCGACAGGUCUCGGUGCCGAAGUCAACACAUUAAGCACUCCACCUGGGGAGUACGAUCGCAAGAUUGAA
This 375-nucleotide ribosomal RNA is filed under the name uncultured bacterium. RNAcentral's name for it is "bacterial SSU rRNA". It matches the Rfam family "Bacterial small subunit ribosomal RNA", at positions 523 to 898 of the family's 1533-position model. The record is from RNAcentral.